RNAcentral lists this ribosomal RNA (253 nucleotides) under uncultured bacterium. RNAcentral describes it as "partial 16S ribosomal RNA". It matches the Rfam family "Bacterial small subunit ribosomal RNA", at positions 524 to 776 of the family's 1533-position model. The record is from RNAcentral.
UACGAAGGGUGCAAGCGUUAAUCGGAAUUACUGGGCGUAAAGCGUGCGUAGGCGGUUUGUUAAGUCUGUUGUGAAAUCCCCGGGCUCAACCUGGGAAUGGCAAUGGAUACUGGCAAGCUAGAGUGUGUCAGAGGAUGGUGGAAUUCCCGGUGUAGCGGUGAAAUGCGUAGAGAUCGGGAGGAACAUCAGUGGCGAAGGCGGCUAUCUGGACAGAGUCUGACGCUGAGGCGCGAAAGCUAGGGGAGCAAACAGG